CCUACGGGAGGCAGCAGUGGGGAAUAUUGGGCAAUGGGCGCAAGCCUGACCCAGCAACGCCGCGUGAAGGAAGAAGGCUUUCGGGUUGUAAACUUCUUUUAUUGAGGACGAAACAAAUGACGGUACCUGAGUAAGAAGCCCCGGCUAACUACGUGCCAGCAGCCGCGGUAAUACGUAGGGGGCAAGCGUUAUCCGGAUUUACUGGGUGUAAAGGGAGCGUAGACGGCCAGACAAGUCUGGAGUGAAAAUUCAGCGCUUAACGUUGGAAGUGCUUUGGAAACUGCCGGGCUGGAGUGCAGGAGGGG
This 305-nucleotide ribosomal RNA is filed under the name uncultured bacterium. RNAcentral's name for it is "bacterial SSU rRNA". It matches the Rfam family "Bacterial small subunit ribosomal RNA", at positions 338 to 657 of the family's 1533-position model. The record is from RNAcentral.